UCUCUGUGACAUUACCAACUGCCCUCUCAACUGACUCAACUGCUCAGAAAUUUCUGGUGGGAGCAAAAGGGGUUGAUUUCUGCCAUCCCUGGAGCUGUUCCUAUCACUGAAUGAGAGAGAGGAGCUGCUUCCUUCUCGUCUCUGCUUUCCUCUGCCGGGGUUAGCAGAAAGGUUGAUCUCCAGAUGAUGCAGUUAAAGGCUUCAAGGACACCAGCAGGCAUUUCUCUCCUGGGCGCCUUCAGCAUCGUGCCAGGUGCAGGAUAAAGAUCAUGAUGGAAGGCAAGGGGCUUCUCUUCUGUGCUGUGAACCAUUUCAUCAAGUGGACCAUGAAAGAUUUGGGGGCACAAGUGGUCUUGUCUUCUGUCUACCCAGAGGAAGGUCAAUCAAGAAAGGUCUGGAUUCUUGAACCAUGGCCCAGGCUACCUGCAUGGAGGACUCCUGGAGGGGGUGCACUUCAUGAAGACUGGGGGAAAUGGGCUGGGCAAGAGCAUUAGUUGAUGCUUCAGAAGUGGGGGUAACCCUGGGGGAAAGUGGCUGUGCCAUCUUAGAAUUCACAAAAUCAAAGGGAGGAGACACUUCAAGGAACCAGAGGUGCACCUUGGAUUUCAGGCAAGCUGACUUGAAUAAACUCAGAGGAGCGCCAGAUAGGAUUCCAAAACUAGACGUCCUAAAGGCAAACCUUGACAUAGACUCUGAGGGGUUCGCUGAUGAGGAGGACCCCGAUGCAAUCCUCAAAAGGGCUUUGGAUAAGACACCCUUGAAUCACAUCAUGAAGGAACCCAAGCCAUCAACCUCCUGGGAUCUCCCCACAUCUCUGCACCUUGUGACAGACCUGCCCCACCCCCAGGAGGGUUCAGCUUGUGGGGCAAGGACAGGUCCCCAUUUGGCCAGCAGAGAGGCACCACCAUCCCUGUCAGAUCCCCAAGAGUGACAACACUACUGGGCACAAGCCAAUCUGCAACAACAGAGAAUAAGCACUCAACUGAGAGCUCAGGAGAGACUUACUUGUGAGGAAGGGAUCUCCUCCAGAAGAACAUUAGAGCCUGAACCAGCUGCACCUAAUAAGGGCUGAAGAGACUAGCUACAGGGUGGAGACCUACAGGCCCCUAUUUAAGCCCUGCUGAAUCACAAUAUGGCCCUUGGUACAAUGGCAUGUUUAGCUGUUUUCUAAUGCCUGUAUCUCUGUCUGUUUAGUAUCCAGGCUCUGCUGGUCUCUUUCCCGGGGCCUUUGUAUCCUUCUCUUAUUCCUUUCUGCAGAAGUUCUCUGGUCCUUGUCCAAACUGUAUUCCUGUCCUCUUCUUAGGCCUGAUCUCCACUUGGCCUAGCAGCCUUCCCUGAGCUGGGCCUGUGCUGUGAGUUGCUGACUGAACAUUGUGUAACCUAGUGAAGGCAGGACACUGGGGCUGUUGGAAAAAAACUAAAGAGGUUUUGGAAAUACUUAAGGAACAAGAAAUAAAAGUGCUGAGAAGGAAGAGUGGGAAUCAGAAAAGAAUGAAGGCAAGGAAAGCAAUGGCAAAUCCUGAGAGUUGCGUCUUCUAAUUCAUACUACACUCCUAUAAGUGUUGAACCUCUUGAAUGUGCCUUCUCAGAAGAUGGAGAGGUAAGUCCGACUCCUACCACAUCCACAGGCGGGACUCUCGGAGCUACAUAGGAAAAGACAGCAGUCCAGAGAUAUCAAAGGUGUUGGGAAAGGAGCAUAUUUCCCCUCUGUUGCUGCUGAGGGCAGCACUGAAGGGCUGCCGAUACGAGGACGCAGUUUUAGGCUAGGCAGUAGGAAUGCUUUCCCAAAUGGGAGAAGGGUUGCCGAGGUCACCUCAGGGAGUCCUGGGCUCCUCUUUGCUGAUGGUUUUCAAACAGAAGCCAGAUAACGAUGAUCUCCACGGAACCUUCCCACUCUAAAAUGCCAUGAUUCUGCUGUGCUCCUCACAUUGAGCCUGCAAGGGAUCUGCAAGUGCCCCCCUGACACCCAGCCUGAUUCUAUUUGCUCCCCAAGUUGACUGCAGUUAUGAGGAAGCAAAUUUAGGCUAAGCAUGGAGAAUAAUUUCCCAUGGGAGAAAUGUCUUGCAGAGGCACACAGCCCUAGGCACACACAACCAUCCCAAGUACAGCUAUACAUAGUAUAGAGCCACAUGCGCGCGCACACACACACACACACACACACACACACACACACCUGUGAACACUUGGUUGUGCCAAUAAUGAGUAAAGAGGGACCAGUGAUGAAUGGAUUGACUUUCUGGUUGGCUCCCUUCCCUUGUCCUUCGGUUAGCUGGGAAUGAUGGGAGUGAGAGUCCAACAGCAUCUGGGAGCAGCUUUAAGAAUCUGUUGGCUUCCCAGAGGCAUCCAGUGAGCCACUAUGGGGAAACAGCAUGCUGGAUUAGAUAGGCCUUGGGCCUGAUCCAGCAGGGCUGUUUGGUUCUUAACAGUCAGGUAUGAUGGGAGUUGUAGUCCAACCUCUAUUUCCAGUCAUUCUCUUUAGCCUGACCUACUUUACAGGACUAUUGUGAGGAUAAAGGAAUUGCAUACUCGGCGGUCCUGGCAGGAAGGGCAGAUAUAAAUUCCAGAAGCCAGGGGUUCUUCAAAUCGGGUCCCCAGAUGUUUUGGGACUAGAAUUCCCAUCUUCCUUGGCUACAAACCCUUGCAGGGGCAUUGCAUGUCUUGUUGAUAAAAGGGGAAUCAUGGCAUGUUUGGACUGGAAGGGUCCUUGUAAGAGCCCAGAAAGGUCAGAAGUGCUGAGACUUCCCAGUGAUUAUUGCUGGGCAAUCACUGUGUUGGUUUGCAUGUCUUUAUGCUAACAUAUAUCCUUUCACAUACAAAUGAAGCUUCCUCCCAGAUGUUGCUUUGUACCCUGAAGCGAUACAAUUCAAAUGUUAGUAGUCACUGAGAUAGUCUUGGGGUGAGAAUGUCCUCAAGCCAGAUUCAUUCUUUUAGCAAUUCUAAUCUACUGUACAGGAAGAAGAUGUGGGGGGUGGGGGGGUCAUCUUGGAGAAGAUGGUUUUCCAGGAGACCCUGGCAAUGGAUUUGGGAAUGUCCUCCAGAGGUCUUAAUUGUGGGCAUGUCAGGGGAGCAAAGAGGCAAGGCCGAAGAGAUUGGCCACAUCCUAGUUCCAAGAAAAGGGAGCAGAGACUGGGAAGCUGGAAUUGCAGUUCUGAGGAGUUGUGUGCAGGGCUGGAGCAGAAGGAGAGCUGGGCCACGCCUGGAUGGAUGGGGAACUUGGGAGGAAAGUAUAGGAGUGAAGGUGGGGAAUCCUACUGGAUUCCAGGGGGCAUUGGUGCUCAGCUUAUAUUUAUGAAUAACACAAAUAUUUUAAAGUUGAUGUUUAUGCUUCAUUUUAAAAUUAUUUAUAUAUUUGAUAUAGAAAGCACUCUUGGUUAAAAAAAAAAUGCAGGGUUGUGUACAGCCCAUAAGAUCCCUCUGCUACCUCUUGCUUUCUCCCACAAUGAGCUCAAGAGAACUUUCCAUAGAGAUCUUUUACCACAGACCUCACGUUUGCAUGUUGCUUCUGCUUCCUUGCUGUAGCUGACUUUUUAAAAAUGGGGCUGGGAAGGGAUAGCUAUUCACAACAAUUAGCCAAGAAGAUAAGGAUGGUCCACCUGAAGCUCAGCAGCUGCUGUUGGACUAGAAGAGCAUCAUCUCCAGCUGCUCUGUGGGGCUCCCAUCACCACCAUCAAAAAAUGUUGGCCGCGCGUUCCUGGAGGACCGGCCGCGCGUUCCUGGAGGACCGGCCGCGCGUUCCUGGAGGACCGGCCGCGCGUUCCUGGAGGACCGGCCGCGCGUUCCUGGAGGACCGGCCGCGCGUUCCUGGAGG
This is a long non-coding RNA of Hemicordylus capensis (graceful crag lizard), 3808 nucleotides long. RefSeq lists it as uncharacterized. The record is from RefSeq and is a predicted model, not a curated record. The transcript is spliced from 3 exons. Lineage: Eukaryota; Metazoa; Chordata; Lepidosauria; Squamata; Cordylidae.